UACGUAGGGUCCGAGCGUUAAUCGGAAUUACUGGGCGUAAAGCGUGCGCAGGCGGUUUUGUAAGCCAGAUGUGAAAGCCCCGGGCUCAACCUGGGAACUGCAUUUGGGACUGCAAGGCUUGAGUACGGCAGAGGGGGGUAGAAUUCCUGGUGUAGCAGUGAAAUGCGUAGAUAUCAGGAGGAAUACCGAUGGCGAAGGCAGCCCCCUGGGUCGAUACUGACGCUCAUGCACGAAAGCGUGGGGAGCAAACAGGAUUAGAAACCCCUGUAGUCC
RNAcentral lists this ribosomal RNA (273 nucleotides) under uncultured bacterium. Its description in RNAcentral is "partial 16S ribosomal RNA". It matches the Rfam family "Bacterial small subunit ribosomal RNA", at positions 524 to 796 of the family's 1533-position model. The record is from RNAcentral.